RNAcentral lists this ribosomal RNA (465 nucleotides) under Vreelandella stevensii. Its description in RNAcentral is "partial 16S ribosomal RNA". It matches the Rfam family "Bacterial small subunit ribosomal RNA", at positions 338 to 795 of the family's 1533-position model. The record is from RNAcentral. Lineage: Bacteria; Pseudomonadati; Pseudomonadota; Gammaproteobacteria; Oceanospirillales; Halomonadaceae.
CCUACGGGUGGCUGCAGUGGGGAAUAUUGGACAAUGGGCGAAAGCCUGAUCCAGCCAUGCCGCGUGUGUGAAGAAGGCCUUCGGGUUGUAAAGCACUUUCAGUGGGGAAGAAAGCCUUGGGGCUAAUACCCUCGAGGAAGGACAUCACCCACAGAAGAAGCACCGGCUAACUCCGUGCCAGCAGCCGCGGUAAUACGGAGGGUGCGAGCGUUAAUCGGAAUUACUGGGCGUAAAGCGCGCGUAGGCGGUCUGAUAAGCCGGUUGUGAAAGUCCCGGGCUCAACCUGGGAACGGCAUCCGGAACUGUCAGGCUAGAGUGCAGGAGAGGAAGGUAGAAUUCCCGGUGUAGCGGUGAAAUGCGUAGAGAUCGGGAGGAAUACCAGUGGCGAAGGCGGCCUUCUGGACUGACACUGACGCUGAGGUGCGAAAGCGUGGGUAGCAAACAGGAUUAGAUACCCGAGUAGUC